AUCUGCCAGGUAAGUAUGUACAAAACUUUAUUGUAUCUUAACAAUAUCAUAUUUGUGAAUAUUCUCAGUGAAAAAUACAGCUAAUAGGCAAAUUUUCUGCAAAUAAUGGGUAUACAGGGAGUCCCCGGGUUACGACGGGGUUCCGUUCUUGAGACGCGUUUUAGCCCGAAAAUCGUUGUAAGCCAGAACAUUGUCAAAAAUCCUAAGAAAACCUUACUUUUAAUGCUUUGGGUGCAUUAAAAAUUGUGUAAACUGCAUUCUUAUUGCAUUUUUCAUUAAAUAAAAACUCAUCAAAUAAUUGAUUAUUUUGUAUUUUUGGAGUCAUAUUUCUUCUGCCAGAUGAGUGUUGUGGGAGCGUAACCCUGGAACAUGUGUCGUAAACCUGGAAAUAAUUUCUGAUAAAUAUAAUUGAAAAAUGUUGUAACCUCGGAACGUCGUAAGCCGGGGACUGCCAGUAUAUGGUCCAUAGAAAAAUCCACGAAUAGGCGAGUACAUGGAUCGUGAGUCCGCAAAUAGUGGGGGUCAACUGUAUACCAUAUAUGGAACAUAGCAUUAUAUUAAUUUCUUUACUUUCAGAGAAUAUGCCUUACAAAGAGUAAGAGAUGGCUUUAGAGAAGGAAAAUUGCUUAUUGGUGAGGAACAACAGAGGCAACUUCAGAGAGCAAGGGAAUCUUUAGAGAUAAUAAAAAGACAAGUUGUGAUUGGUAAUUUAUAUGCACAUCCAGAAUUAGUUAUUGAGAAAUAAUGGUAUAGUAUACUUUUGUGUGAUGUGAAUGUUUACAUUUUCCACUUUAUACUAUUUGGGGAAAUGUCUGGAUUGGCCAGUACAAGUAAAAAAUUUCAAUUUUAAAACUUUCCAAGGAAGAUGUUUAGACACUGACAUUUCCAUUUAAAAUACAUAAGAUUGAUCAUGUAAGCAGAUAACAAAUAUAUACAUAAUGUGAAUACUCCAGUUUUGAAGAUCUGAAAUGAAACUGAUUCAAUUUAUAGACAAAAUUAUUGGAAUGCUUUCCAGCCAUGACCAGAUUUAAUGUACAUAUUUCAUGUUUGUUUGUGUUAAAAGAUGUGACAUAUUGUCUAAGACUCUAUACCUACCUAAAAGCCUGCACCUUUAUAGUGCUCCAGUUAUUUACACUUCAGGUAUAUUUUUCAUAACUUUUGAAGUAACAAUGAGAAAAACUGAGUAAAGCAAGUUGCAUAUAACCUGUAUCAUUUUAUACCUUCCAUGGAAAUGAAGUGAAGGUUUAGUAAAGCAUGAAAAUAAAUGUACAGCAAUUGUACAGUCAUCUUUCCUUUCCCAGAAAUUAGCCUUAAUUGCAGCCUCUUAAGUUCACAUUAACUCCUUAGCCUAAAAAUAUCCAGUGAAUGCAUGAGCUGUUAUCCUUAAAGUAACAAUAGGAUUUUUAUAUAAUUUUUUUGUAUGGACCAUUUAGUUUUCAUAAUUUACUGGCAAUGUUAUUAAAGAAAUUGUAAAUGACGAAAACCUGGAGCAAGUGAUAGUUUUUACAGUAUAGUAGUUUUAUUUAUUCAAAUUCAUUUAUUUCAAAUGUGAUCACCAGGUUGACUGCUCUCACUAGUUCAAGUUUGAUACAGUACUUUUGAACACUAGAUUCACAUGUUUUGGAUUGUAAUUCCUAGCAGUGUUGAAUACAAAGGUAAUUGAUAAGUAAGAAAUAGUAUUUGGAAUGCAAACAUAACCCCACUUAUAAAACCAGAUAUGGAGUUAUAGCCCAAGUGUUAUGUUGCUACACGUUGCUACCUUUUCCAAACAUUUCUUCCCCCCCUUUUGUUGAGGAAGUUUGUAAUUAUUUUUCAAAAUUCUAAUGAAUGUAUACAUUUUAUAUUUUCUUUUUCAACUUUUGAUUUUACAUGAGGUACAUGGUAGAAAGUAAGCAAGCUUUAAUAUGAAACUAUGCCUCCAUUCCUAUAGUCAAAUUUUUUUUCGAAAAUUUAGAUCCAAAUAUACUGUAUACUAUGGCCAUUGCACCUACUACUGCUGUUUCAUAUUUGUACAUAUGUAUGUGCAAGGGCAUUUGUGGGUAUUUGAAUUUUGUUACCGAUUAUGAUAUAGUGUUGAACAUCAUGCAAGGAUUGAGGUUAUUGUAACCUGCUAAAAUAAAGUUUUUAAUUAAAUAUCA
Molecule: long non-coding RNA, 2138 nt
Organism: Macrobrachium nipponense
Lineage: Eukaryota; Metazoa; Arthropoda; Malacostraca; Decapoda; Palaemonidae
Exons: 2
Source: RefSeq, a predicted model, not a curated record